CUGCCACAACGGCUUCCUGACGUGGCGGGUUCAGAACCAACGGAGCA
RNAcentral lists this non-coding RNA (47 nucleotides) under unclassified sequences. Its description in RNAcentral is "SAM-SAH-Weickhmann-2018 RNA". It matches the Rfam family "SAM/SAH riboswitch aptamer". The record is from RNAcentral.